AACGAAUGCUGGCGGCAGGCUUAACACAUGCAAGUCGAGCGCCCCGCAAGGGGAGCGGCCGACGGGUGAGUAACGCGUGGGAACGUACCUUUUGGUUCGGAACAACUCCGGGAAACUGGAGCUAAUACCGGAUAAGCCCUAACGGGGAAAGAUUUAUCGCCGAAAGAUCGGCCCGCGUCUGAUUAGCUAGUUGGUGAGGUAACGGCUCACCAAGGCGACGAUCAGUAGCUGGUCUGAGAGGAUGAUCAGCCACGCUGGGACUGAGACACGGCCCAGACUCCUACGGGAGGCAGCAGUGGGGAAUAUUGGACAAUGGGCGCAAGCCUGAUCCAGCCAUGCCGCGUGAGUGAUGAAGGCCUUAGGGUUGUAAAGCUCUUUUGUCCGGGAAGAUAAUGACUGUACCGGAAGAAUAAGCCCCGGCUAACUUCGUG
This 431-nucleotide ribosomal RNA is filed under the name uncultured bacterium. RNAcentral describes it as "partial 16S ribosomal RNA". It matches the Rfam family "Bacterial small subunit ribosomal RNA", at positions 29 to 507 of the family's 1533-position model. The record is from RNAcentral.